Amaranthus tricolor (Joseph's coat) is the source of this 2115-nucleotide long non-coding RNA. RefSeq lists it as uncharacterized. Lineage: Eukaryota; Viridiplantae; Streptophyta; Magnoliopsida; Caryophyllales; Amaranthaceae. The record is from RefSeq and is a predicted model, not a curated record. The transcript has 2 exons.
AUUAUUAACUGUGAUUUUUGUGAAUUUUACUUUGGUAAUCAAACUUAAGGAAAUGUUGAUGAAGUAAUAUAAGGAGUAUGGAUAAGGUGUUUGAUAAAAAGACAAAGAGAAAAAACGUUGUAUAUCUCACGGUUUCUUUAACUCUGCUUCUUUCACCUAUGGCCUAACAAAAGUCUCCGUCCUUCACGCGUAGACUGCCAACUCCUUUGCUUACAUCCCUCUCAUUUUUUUUAGUUCUUUUCGUAUUUCUAAGUUCGUGCUAAUCAAGAGCAAAGCAAUUUGUCGGUCCAUAAAUUAUUACAAAGUCUACAUCAAGUAUUGGUAAUAAUGCAGAGACCUAUAAUACUUGCUUCAUCUCAAUCAGAGUGCACAGCUGAGGAGGCUCAUACAUGUAGUAAGGUAUAAAUUAUAAUACUUUGUAAAUACUUCUAUUAUUCUUGGUUUUAGAUUACAACGAACAAUGACUCAUUAAAGUUUUUGCACGUCUUAAUUAAGGUUGUGUUUGGAUCGAAGGGAUGAUGUGGAUUUUUAAACUUUGGGUAAUUGUGGGAGGUUUUGAAAAUUUUGAAUUGUGGAGUGAAAAUAUUGAAUCUUUGAUUUCAAGCAAUUUUUUUGAAUAUUUGUUUUUUAAGAUUGUCAUUUGGUUUAUUGAUUAAUGGGUGAAAUUUAAUGUAUAUUCUAAUUAGAUAAAUGGGUUUUAACAGUUGGAUUGAUAUAGUUGGAUUGUUGGUUUACAAGCAUUAUGCUGGGGUUAAGCUCUGUUAACUUUAGAGUUUUGAUUUUUAAAUUGUGGGGUUAAAAAACUCUAAUUUCAAUCCAUUUUAAUGUAAAAUGUAUUAUUUGUUUAUGAAAUAAAAUUGGUUUUAGUUUUUUGGUUUUCAAGUUGUAGGUUGUUUUGGCUACCCAGUUGGGUUAACUACAUUGUUUAGUAGUGAGCCACUUGCUUAAACUUUUUUUAAUUUAUGAGCAAGCUGAUGGUCUUAGUAUGUUGGGUUCUGUAUUUCUAGUGUAUAAGUAUUACUGUUGCUAAAAAUCGUAGUUUAUUCAAGAUGUUUGUCUUCAACGUAUAUGAAUGUUUGAACUCUGCAUUCUAAAGUCAUUCAUCAGGAUUUUAGAGUAAGAGUCAUUCAUUAGGGUAAAUAGACUUGGUGAAUUUUCUUUAGUAGAGGAAUAUAGUUUUAUUAAUGUAGAAGGUUGAUAUAAAAUUGGCUUUCAAAGUUUACUGUUUAUAAAGUAGAAAAGAAUGGAUUACUUGGGUGAAUAAGAUUCUAGAUGACCAGAAUGACUACCGAGAUUAUGUAGAAUGAUCAGAAUGGUUUAACUUUGAAGUUCAAGUCCCUUUAUGUAUUAGUAUUAGUUCUCAGUUUUCAUCCUUGUUUUGCAAAUGAACUUUUUUUAGCUUUGUUCUUUAUAAUCCAACAAUAGAGACCCUAAAGACAAAGAAAAAGAAAUCAUAAUAAACUCUAAAAUCAAAGAAAUAUUGCCAAAAUUAAUUUUGGUUGGUUGGUUGGUUGGUUAAGUGCCUAAGCACACAAUUGUUUUCCAAAAGUGUGAGCAAUAAUGAUGUCUUUCUCGUAAUACUAUCUUGAGAGAAAGGAACUUGACCCUCAUGUCUUCUACAUGAUAAACUAAAAGAUUCUUCCUGCAAGUUGCCUCUGUACGUGUUGUCUUCACCUCUUCGCCAUUCAGGAAAACAUCGUUAUUCUUUUUGAAGGCUUUUAUUAUGAUUGCAUUGUUAGCCCAAGUUUGUGUUGAUUCAUGUGGUUCUACCAAGAACCAUCCACUCUAAUUCCUGGUUUGCUUGUUAGCUCAACCUCUAAGUUGUAAGUACAUUUUAUUCAAGCGGGUAUUUUCCGUGUUCAGGAUUUUUCUUAGAAUGACUUGUUCUUAGUCACUUAUAGAUUAUAUUCUCUUGUAGGUGAACGGCAGAUGAAGUGAACAAGUGCAAACUCGACUUCUGAUGACCUAGUAAUAUAGAUUAUAUUUCCAUUCGUAUUAUUAUUAAUGAAAGUGUAUACAAUAAAAUAUUCAGUUCAAUAGUGUAACUUGAGGGACCACGUGCGUAGCACACGGCCCCACAACUAGUUUAUAUUAAAUAAAUCUACUUUUACAUCA